Hyaena hyaena (striped hyena) is the source of this 759-nucleotide long non-coding RNA. RefSeq lists it as uncharacterized. The record is from RefSeq and is a predicted model, not a curated record. The transcript has 3 exons. Lineage: Eukaryota; Metazoa; Chordata; Mammalia; Carnivora; Hyaenidae.
GCGGCCUUUUCUGCCUCUGCGCUCCGGCCUGGGAGGGCUGCUGCGCGAUUUCGGGGGUGGCAGGGAUACGGGGCGCGGGGCUUCUUGGUUUCCGAAGGGUACAAGGUGCUCUGAGAGUGAUGAGAUGUGCUUCGUGGCUGUGCCAGGCCCGAGGGUCCCGUCCCUGGAGUGCAUGGAGGGCAGCGGCCCUGCCUGGUCUCGGCCACGUUGUCCGUGGACCUCGGGAAGCCCCGACGGGGCCCCAAGGCUGCGUUCCCACGCCAGGAAGUGGAAGAUGGGUUUGAAUGCAUUUGAGUUUAUUGGACACGGACCGUGUGUCAGAGGGAGUUUUUAAUGGAAGCAGAGAUUUCUUGUGAAAGAGAAAGACGUCACUGUCACUGCAUGUAUGCCUAACGUAUCACAUUUGAGUUCAAGGCUAAAUAGGAGUCAAGUGCCGUUUAAUAUUAAGGUUUAGAUCUUAAUAUUUGUUUCAAGAUCCAGAACUUGGCGAGCGAGUGGCAUCAGCGUUGCAGGUCAAAGAUGGAUGCUUGAAGCUUACCCUGUUGCUAGCUGAAUCCUUUUGGGGAGCACCAAAGGUGACCUAAGGAUGUCCCUGAUGAGGAAUUCAAAAACAUCACAGGAAAUCUUGACAAGAGUUACUUGGUUCAUUUAAAAUUCCCAGGAGUCUGAAGGGUACUAAAUUUAUUGUUUUGGGACUGUCCGUAAAUGUACCUUUAAAAUAGUGGAGCUAUGAAUAAAUAUUUCCUUGUGCUUCUUGGA